AGAUGGGGUAGAGGCUGCGGUUAUUAAGAGUAUUCCAGAAGAGGGACAGGAAUCCCCAACGAGACUGGACGAAAGGAACAACCGCCGAAGCGCCGCGGGACCCUGCCUGCGGUAAGCUGGGGCUGUAUCCGAACAGGUGCAGCACUGUCAUGGCAUUGCCAUGGUGAACUAUCCGUUUU
Molecule: non-coding RNA, 179 nt
Filed under: Bacillus sp. (in: firmicutes)
Lineage: Bacteria; Bacillati; Bacillota; Bacilli; Caryophanales; Bacillaceae
Also listed under: 1 other name
Description: Bacillus sp. Lysine sequence
Rfam family: Lysine riboswitch aptamer
About the family: Riboswitches are metabolite binding domains within certain messenger RNAs that serve as precision sensors for their corresponding targets. Allosteric rearrangement of mRNA structure is mediated by ligand binding, and this results in modulation of gene expression. This family includes riboswitches that sense lysine in a number of genes involved in lysine metabolism, including lysC.
Source: RNAcentral